RNAcentral lists this ribosomal RNA (452 nucleotides) under uncultured bacterium. Its description in RNAcentral is "SSU rRNA". It matches the Rfam family "Bacterial small subunit ribosomal RNA", at positions 26 to 518 of the family's 1533-position model. The record is from RNAcentral.
AGAGCGAACGCUGGCGGCAUGCUUAACACAUGCAAGUCGCACGGGCAGGGGAAACCCUGUCAGUGGCGGACGGGUGAGUAACGCGUAGGUAUCUAUCCUUGGGUGGGGGAUAACGGUUGGAAACGACUGCUAAUACCGCAUGAUAACUGAGGUUUAAAGGCGCAAGUCGCCUGGGGAGGAGCCUGCGUACGAUUAGCUUGUUGGUGGGGUAAAGGCCUACCAAGGCGACGAUCGUUAGCUGGUCUGAGAGGAUGAUCAGCCACAUUGGGACUGAGACACGGCCCAAACUCCUACGGGAGGCAGCAGUGGGGAAUAUUGGACAAUGGGCGAAAGCCUGAUCCAGCAAUGCCGCGUGUGUGAAGAAGGUCUUCGGAUUGUAAAGCACUUUCGACAGGGACGAUGAUGACGGUACCUGUAGAAGAAGCCCCGGCUAACUUCGCGCCAGCAGCCGC